GUCAUUGAUUUGGUCCCAAUCUCUAUCAUUGAUUUGGUCUCAAUCUCUGCGUGAUUUCCUGUCUUUCCAUUCUCUUCUUUAUGCCCCCGCAAGAUCGGUGGUACUAGCCUAACACUGAUCUUGGAAACACAAAAUAAGAAUUGUCGCUUUGGUAGCACCUUUGUAAGAGCAUCUGCCAACUAAUCACCAAAGUGCACAUAUUG
RNAcentral lists this unclassified non-coding RNA (203 nucleotides) under Hevea brasiliensis (rubber tree). Lineage: Eukaryota; Viridiplantae; Streptophyta; Magnoliopsida; Malpighiales; Euphorbiaceae. The record is from RNAcentral.